RNAcentral lists this unclassified non-coding RNA (377 nucleotides) under uncultured Simkaniaceae bacterium. RNAcentral describes it as "contains 16S-23S intergenic spacer region". The record is from RNAcentral. Lineage: Bacteria; Pseudomonadati; Chlamydiota; Chlamydiia; Parachlamydiales; Simkaniaceae.
UCCUGGUUAACCCAGGCAGUCUCAUUAGAGUCCCCAGCCGAACUGUUGGCAACUAAUGAUAAGGGUUGCGCUCGUUGCGGGACUUAACCCAACACCUCACGGCACGAGCUGACGACAGCCAUGCAGCACCUGUAUAAAUGCUCCGAAGAGAAAUAUCAUCUCUGAUAUCGUCAUCUAUAUGUCAAGCCUAGGUAAGGUUCUUCGCGUUGCAUCGAAUUAAACCACAUGCUCCACUGCUUGUGCGGGUCCCCGUCAAUUCUUUUGAGUUUCACCCUUGCGAGCGUACUUCCCAGGCGGCAUACUUAACGCGUUAGCUUCGGCACAGUCGGGGUUGAGUCCAACUACACCAAGUAUGCAUCGUUUACGGCAAGGACUAC